AUUUAUAUAGUUUAACCAAAACAUUAUAUUUUCAAUAUAAAAAUAAACCCAUUUUAUAAAUU
RNAcentral lists this transfer RNA (62 nucleotides) under Mastinocerus sp. MAS01. RNAcentral's name for it is "tRNA-Glu". The record is from RNAcentral. Lineage: Eukaryota; Metazoa; Arthropoda; Insecta; Coleoptera; Phengodidae.